Molecule: unclassified non-coding RNA, 262 nt
Filed under: Hevea brasiliensis (rubber tree)
Lineage: Eukaryota; Viridiplantae; Streptophyta; Magnoliopsida; Malpighiales; Euphorbiaceae
Source: RNAcentral
GAGUUGUGGUUAAGGCACUUUCUCGGGCUGGGAGUACAGACAGGAGGGCACUCAAUAUUUUUCUCUUGGCCUGGACGGGUUCUCUCUUUUCCAUUCUCACAAUGGCAGUGCUUUUGGCAAGAAUUAUCAAAUACGAAGAGAGGACCUGGGCCCUUAGAUCAGCCAUUUCCUCAUCUUCAUUGCAAUAAAUUCAUUCAAUGGAGAAAAUCCAAGUGAGCUUGGCGGGUAUAAACACAAAUCUUCUGUUUCCCCUGCACCUUCU